GUCUAGAGGCUUCGACAAUGCCCGAAAGGGUGAUCGAGCGAUGCCGCGUGCGGGAUGAAGGCCUUCGGGUUGUAAAGUUCUUUAGCCGAUGAUUAUAAUGACUGUAGUCGGAAAAUAAGCCCCGGCUAACUUCGUGCCAGCAGCCGCGGUAAUACGAAGGGGGCGAGCGUUAUUCGGAAUCACUGGGCGUAAAGCGUGCGUAGGCGGUUUUGUAAGUUAGGAGUGAAAGCCCAGGGCUCAACCUUGGAAUUGCUCUUAAAACUGCAAGGCUCGAAUCUCGGAGAGGAUAGCGGAAUUUCCAGUGUAGCAGUGAAAUGCGUAGAUAUUGGAAGGAACACCAGUGGCGUAAGCGGCUAUCUGGACGAGUAUUGACGCUGAGGCACGAAAGCGUGGGGAUCAAACAGGAUUAGAAACCCGGGUAGUCC
RNAcentral lists this ribosomal RNA (425 nucleotides) under uncultured bacterium. Its description in RNAcentral is "partial 16S ribosomal RNA". It matches the Rfam family "Bacterial small subunit ribosomal RNA", at positions 354 to 796 of the family's 1533-position model. The record is from RNAcentral.